RNAcentral lists this ribosomal RNA (497 nucleotides) under uncultured bacterium. RNAcentral describes it as "partial 16S ribosomal RNA". It matches the Rfam family "Bacterial small subunit ribosomal RNA", at positions 28 to 507 of the family's 1533-position model. The record is from RNAcentral.
GAUGAACGCUGGCGGCGUGCCUAAUACAUGCAAGUCGAGCGAACAGACGAGGAGCUUGCUCCUCUGACAUUAGCGGCGGACGGGUGAGUAACACGUGGAUAACCUACCUAUAAGACUGGGAUAACUUCGGGAAACCGGAGCUAAUACCGGAUAAUAUAUUGAACCGCAUGGUUCAAUAGUGAAAGACGGUUUUGCUGUCACUUAUAGAUGGAUCCGCGCCGCAUUAGCUAGUUGGUAAGGUAACGGCUUACCAAGGCAACGAUGCGUAGCCGACCUGAGAGGGUGAUCGGCCACACUGGAACUGAGACACGGUCCAGACUCCUACGGGAGGCAGCAGUAGGGAAUCUUCCGCAAUGGGCGAAAGCCUGACGGAGCAACGCCGCGUGAGUGAUGAAGGUCUUCGGAUCGUAAAACUCUGUUAUUAGGGAGGAACAAAUGUGUAAGUAACUAUGCACGUCUUGACGGUACCUAAUCAGAAAGCCACGGCUAACUACGUG